UUUACCUACGGGGCGCAGCAGUGAGGAAUAUUGGUCAAUGGGCGCGAGCCUGAACCAGCCAAGUAGCGUGAAGGAUGACUGCCCUACGGGUUGUAAACUUCUUUUAUAAAGGAAUAAAGUGAGGCACGUGUGCCUUUUUGUAUGUACUUUAUGAAUAAGGAUCGGCUAACUCCGUGCCAGCAGCCGCGGUAAUACGGAGGAUCCGAGCGUUAUCCGGAUUUAUUGGGUUUAAAGGGAGCGUAGGCCGGUCUUUAAGCGUGCCGUGAAAUUUUGUGGCUCAACCAUGAGAGUGCGGCGCGAACUGG
This 305-nucleotide ribosomal RNA is filed under the name uncultured bacterium. RNAcentral's name for it is "bacterial SSU rRNA". It matches the Rfam family "Bacterial small subunit ribosomal RNA", at positions 334 to 636 of the family's 1533-position model. The record is from RNAcentral.